GCAGAGGGGGCAGCGUGCUCAGGGGAGAAGAUGGAGCAGAGGUGAGCUGGGGCGGGGAAUUCCCCUGCGUGCUGCACGCCAGCUUAUUUGCUGCAGGCAGCCCUGGCUGCGCCCCACCCCACCCCAGGCCCCUCUGCCUAAAUGCUGAUGACCACCAGGGCGGCCGAAGAUCUGGCCACUGCAGUCGCUGCCAAAGGACCCGAAAUGCCGUCUCCCAAAUGCUAGUGCCCUAGGCGACCGCCUAAUGGGUUGCACCAGCUCUGCACGCACCCCACUACUGGGGGUGGGGGCAGGACUGGCUCCAGGUUUUCUGCUGCCCCAAGCAGGAGGGGGGAAAAAGCGCCAGGGCAGCGUGAUCGCACCGCUCUACUCUUCGGCAGCAAUUCGGCUGCAGGUCCUUCGCUCAGAGAAGGACUGAGGGCCCCGCCACUGAAUUGCCGCGGAAGACCCAGACGUGCCCGCACAAUAGCAGCAGGAGGGUCGCUCCCAGCCCUGGGCAGGGGGAGGCAGCAGCUGCUGCAGGAUCCUGGUACCCCUUGCCUGGGGGAGGAGAAGGCGCUGGAGAAAGCGCUCAUCAGCUCGGGGAGCGGGGAAGCUGCUAAGGGAAGAGCCCAGCGCCCAGCUAAGGAGGAAGCGGCUGCUCAGGGGACGAGCAUGAGGCUCGAGGCGUAAACUGAACCGGAGGUGACCGGCCCGACUCCAGCCCUGCACACAAGGGGCGUGGCAAACUGCAGGGGGCGGAGUCCGGAGCCCCCGGCAGGAGCCGGGGAAGCUGCUGGGAGAUGCGUUGGGUUUCUCCUCGCGCCCUGGCCCUGCGGGACGUCAUCACUCAGCGCCGUUCUCGCGGUGUCACGUGCCCCGUGUGCCUCAGUUGUGGUGUCGGGCCUUCCCCCCAGCGCGUUAGUGUCUCUGAGUUGGUCCCGCGCCCGCUUGGUGCGGCGGGAGCCGGAGAUCCCCGGCGGGAGCCAACAAUGCCGAGAAAAAGAUGCGCAAGACCCACAAUAUUAACUUCUUCAGAAAAGAAAACCAGGAGACAAAUUAUUGAUAAAAGAGUGGCGUACACAAGGAUAUACUUGGGGAAUCAAAUUGGCCGAUGGCUGACCUUAAGGGAAAAACUGGAUUUCAAAAGAGACACAGACCUUGCAGGAUUUUUGCUGGAUCUGUAA
RNAcentral lists this long non-coding RNA (1166 nucleotides) under Gopherus agassizii (Agassiz's desert tortoise). RNAcentral describes it as "lncRNA (ENSGAGG00000002573.1)". The record is from RNAcentral. Lineage: Eukaryota; Metazoa; Chordata; Testudines; Testudinidae.